GUGAGCGGUUUCUGGUGAGACUGAACAAGAAUGGUGGGCCAAGGAACCCAGAGAAGAUAGAUCGAAUGUGUGCCCUUUUUACAGAUCUGAGCAGCAAAGAUAUGAAGAGAGAUUUGUAUAUAGUUGCCCAUGUGAUCCGAAUAGGCCGGAUGCUCCUGAAUGACUCAAAGAAGGGCCCUGCUCACCUGCACUACAGGCGACCAUAUGGCUGUGCAGUCCUAAGCAUCUUGGAUGUCCUACAGUCACUCACAGAAUUAAAGGAAGAGAAGGAUUUUGUUC
Long non-coding RNA from Carlito syrichta (Philippine tarsier), 279 nucleotides. RefSeq lists it as uncharacterized. The transcript is spliced from 3 exons. Lineage: Eukaryota; Metazoa; Chordata; Mammalia; Primates; Tarsiidae. The record is from RefSeq and is a predicted model, not a curated record.